UAGAUGUCAAAAAAGCUGUGAGUUUCCCAGA
RNAcentral lists this non-coding RNA (31 nucleotides) under Rattus norvegicus (Norway rat). The record is from RNAcentral. Lineage: Eukaryota; Metazoa; Chordata; Mammalia; Rodentia; Muridae.